RNAcentral lists this ribosomal RNA (414 nucleotides) under uncultured bacterium. RNAcentral describes it as "bacterial SSU rRNA". It matches the Rfam family "Bacterial small subunit ribosomal RNA", at positions 951 to 1366 of the family's 1533-position model. The record is from RNAcentral.
ACGGGGGGAACGCGAAGAACCUUACCUACUCUUGACAUCCAGAGAACUUAGCAGAGAUGCUUUGGUGCCUUCGGGAACUCUGAGACAGGUGCUGCAUGGCUGUCGUCAGCUCGUGUUGUGAAAUGUUGGGUUAAGUCCCGCAACGAGCGCAACCCUUAUCCUUUGUUGCCAGCGGUCAGGCCGGGAACUCAAAGGAGACUGCCAGUGAUAAACUGGAGGAAGGUGGGGAUGACGUCAAGUCAUCAUGGCCCUUACGAGUAGGGCUACACACGUGCUACAAUGGCGCAUACAAAGAGAAGCGACCUCGCGAGAGCAAGCGGACCUCAUAAAGUGCGUCGUAGUCCGGAUUGGAGUCUGCAACUCGACUCCAUGAAGUCGGAAUCGCUAGUAAUCGUGAUCAGAAGUCGGGAAACC